RNAcentral lists this ribosomal RNA (869 nucleotides) under uncultured rumen bacterium. RNAcentral's name for it is "bacterial SSU rRNA". It matches the Rfam family "Bacterial small subunit ribosomal RNA", at positions 8 to 869 of the family's 1533-position model. The record is from RNAcentral.
AGAGUUUGAUCCUGGCUCAGGAUGAACGCUAGCUACAGGCUUAACACAUGCAAGUCGAGGGGCAGCAUGAACUUAGCUUGCUAAGUUUGAUGGCGACCGGCGCACGGGUGAGUAACGCGUAUCCAACCUACCCCUUAGUAGGGCAUAGCCCGUAGAAAUGCGGAUUAAUACCCUAUGUUUUCCGGAGACGGCAUCAGAACUGGAACAAAGAUUGAUCGCUAAGGGAUGGGGAUGCGUACGAUUAGGUUGUUGGCGGGGUAACGGCCCACCAAGCCUGCGAUCGUUAGGGGUUCUGAGAGGAAGGUCCCCCACACUGGUACUGAGACACGGACCAGACUCCUACGGGAGGCAGCAGUGAGGAAUAUUGGUCAAUGGGCGUGAGCCUGAACCAGCCAAGUAGCGUGCAGGACGACGGCCCUACGGGUUGUAAACUGCUUUUAUCAGGGGAUAAAGUGCGGGACGUGUCCCUCAUUGCAGGUACCUGAUGAAUAAGGACCGGCUAAUUCCGUGCCAGCAGCCGCGGUAAUACGGAAGGUCCGGGCGUUAUCCGGAUUUAUUGGGUUUAAAGGGAGCGCAGGCGGGUGCUUAAGCGUGCUGUGAAAUGUACCGGCUCAACCGGUGACGUGCAGCGCGAACUGGGUGCCUUGAGUGAGUGCGAGGUAUGCGGAAUUCGUGGUGUAGCGGUGAAAUGCUUAGAUAUCACGAAGAACCCCGAUUGCGAAGGCAGCGUACCAGUCCUUUACUGACGCUAAAGCUCGAAGGUGCGGGUAUCGAACAGGAUUAGAUACCCUGGUAGUCCGCACGGUAAACGAUGGAUGCCCGCUGUCGGCGAUAGAAUGUCGGCGGCCAAGCGAAAGCGUUAAGCAUCC